UGAUGACUGGAAAUGCUACAAACUGAGAAGACUCUACUUCAUCUGGGUAUGCAGGGACGUCGAAUCUUUCCGCUGGUUUGCAGAUUUGCUCUGUAUGUUGCAUAACAAGCUCUGGCAAGAGAAUCGACCAGACUAUAUAAACAUCCAGCUGUACCUCAGUCAAACAGAUGGAAUACAGAAAAUAAUUGGUGAAAAGUAUCAAGCCCUAAACUCGAGGCUUUUGAUUGGACGACCCCGGUGGAAACUCCUUUUUGAUGAAAUAGCGAAGUAUAACAGGCGGAAAACCAUUGGAGUUUUCUGUUGUGGACCAAGCAAGAUGUCUAAGAUACUUCAUAAACUGAGCAACAGCAGCAACCCUUACGGGACAAGGUUUGAGUAUAAUAAAGAGUCCUUCAGCUGAAAGUCUGUUGGACUUGGAAGAAUCUCUAGAAGAUAAAAGUGCAAUUUUCUGUUCAUACAACUUUAAAGUUCCACUGUGGUUUAAACAGAAAUGUACCAAAGAGUAGCACAGUUUUUCUUAUUUAUGAUUAUUUAAGACUCUGGAAAAUGAUGGAUAUGGCAGUAUACCAACAAAUAUUAAGUGCUCACGCUCAAAGCCAAAUGCACUCACACAGUAUUUGUGGCAGCGGCGAUUCUUUGGAAUUGUUUCUGUUAAUUAAAAAGUACUAAUGCUGGGGAGAAAUGCAGUUGCUUUAAAAGCCAGUGGAAGAAAAAUCUGUGGAAUGUUCUUCCACUUCAAUCUUCUGAAGUUGGAUCAAUAAACAAAACCCCCAGGUUAAUCCAAAUGACAAGUCAUAGGGCAUUUCAAAGAGCUAUUGCUUUUGUUGGUAUAUAGACCCUGUGACUUUGGAGUGGAGACACUCCAUAUUCAAGGUUUUAUGCAUUACAGAACUGGGAUUUUGUAUUUCAAACAUACUCUGUAACGGGUAUCAAUAUUCCCACUUUGAAUAGAGGAGAGAGGGAAUUUAGGGGAAGAUGUAAAUCAACGUUAGGAAAAGUAAGCACAACAGCCCUAGCACCUUUGGGCAGACUCAGCCAUGAUGUAUAUCACAGCCUUUUGGCAGGGAAACAGCUGUACCUGGAAAACUCAGUAUCUAGCAUCAAUUCAGCAUUCAGUGAGUUUGCAAAAUAACUGUGAUUUAUGCAGCCAGAAAGAUGGAGCAAGAAAAGCGAUUAACAGGAGGAGACAGGAUAUGAUGUUUUAUUAUACCACAGGCUCAGCGUGGAAGUUGCACUCACUUUGCACUCACAUGCCCUGAAUGUCAAAUACUUACAGCAUUCAGAUGUUCUUAGUGAUUAAUGUACAAUGCGGCAGGCUGAAAUCCUAUUUUAGGAGUUGUGGAGUGUCCUUCUUGACUGCGGUCCUUUGACUACCAUUGCUGGAGUCAUGCUUGUUGUUCAGUCUCACUGAUCUCUUGUUUGUUCAGUCCCGUUGGUGUCCCUCAAAGCAGCAUUGGGCUAGAUCUGCAGCAGGGUAGGAGUAAAGCUUUCUUUACUGUGGCUCUUUGCAUCUUGUAUACAGAUAUAAACUUUGCAGGAUUUGCAGUGUGUUUUCAGUGUGUUCUAAAAGAGAGAGUCUGAAACAUCCAAAUUUAAGCUCUUCUUCCCUUCUCAUUACCACAGCUGCUUUCUUGACUUCUCAUAGUUGCCAUGAGUUUGAAACAGACACUUUAAAACCUUUUGAUUCAGAGUAGCAGCAUUUUACUUACUCAAUUCAUUAGCCAAACCAAUUUCCUCUUAUUUUCUCUUGACCUUCUUUCUCUCAUUUUGCCAAGAAAGGGACAUUUAAGCUGGAGUCAAACACGUAGUUGGCAUAAAUAGGCCUCAUUCUAGAGCAUCUUAAUACAACAGCAUUGCUUUACACUUGCUAAAAACCUGGCCCUUCGGCAGCAGCUCAGGAGCAAAGCCUGUAAUGUCUGCAGCAUGUGCAGGUGUAUGAUUGCUCAGCAUCCCUCAGAGCGCGGUUCACCUGUAUUUAGCACAGCGUAUUUGAUUCAGCAGAGAGCUUUCCAAUGCAUGCAUUUUUCAUUUUAGUAAAAACAAAUCAGUAAUUUCUCACAGCACAGGCUCUAUACAGGAUUCUUCUUUCAGCGAACAGAGGCAAGCUUCUCUCUGGUAGGUGGUGGUGUGGCAUGUUGUAUGUGUAACUAGUGAAUGUGUAUUUGGUCUUUGCCAUGGCAGUUUCUGCUCAGGAGUUGCUCUAAAUGGUGCAGCUGGAUGCAGUGCAGCAGCACUUACUGCCUGGACUUUGCACUGAAGUUCUUGCCUCUGGCUCUGCUCAGUUUGAAAUUCAGGAGGGAAGGGAAGAGCCAGAGAUGGACUAAUUUCUACUAAUGAGAAUUUUUAAGUAGCCUAGAGGAGAGAGAACCCAAAAUUGAAAUGUGAGAUGGAAGCCUCCAUAGCAGCUUGUGAUUUUUUUUUUUUAAAGUCUGAAUCAUUAUUUUCCCAUUGGAUCUCCUUCAUCUUGUCCCUAUAAACAAGAGGUAUGCAGAAAAGUACCAGUUCUUCUUUAAUUAUUAAUAUUUUUUCUUAUACUGCCUGCAUGGAUUUCAUAAUAAGCACAACACUGAUGGCAAAAUGCAUAAUCAGGUAUUGCCUGUAUUGCAGGCUUUUUUGUUUGUUUGCUGUUAGCACAUGGUGAUCAUUUUUCUCUUGUUUUAGUAUCUAGCAUCUAAUGAUUUUUAAAUAUGGUAUAGAGUCUGCUAAUCUCAACGAUGUUCGUUGUUUUUUUACAUCUCCUUCGAUAGCUACCAGUUCCCUUACUGCAUAAUGAGCAGUUAGUUUUGUAGCAAGCUCUGCGCUAAUACAGAUUAUACUUUGUGGCUCAGCUCUUACGUAGGUAGUGCUUUAUAAUUAAUAAUAGCACUGUGCUCUUGUGCUGAAUUCUAGCAGGAGCUGACACUGUGUGGAGGAAUGUUAUCCCUUGUUGUUACGUUAGCAGUGCUGUCAGAGCAAGAAACUGGCAGAGCCUCUGUCCUGUGCCAAGCUCAGCUGACCCCAGCUGCCAGGCUGGGUACUAUCUACCUGUCUGGAGAGUUGUGAGAUGUAAUUAAUGUUACAGGAUCUCUUCAAUGCACCUCUAGCAGAUUUCUGUAGUUGCUGUUGAGCUGUAUUUGUGUUUUAUUUUUUGUAGUUUCUUUCAUUUGACUGAACCUUUCUGUUGCUCACGUGGGUAUUACUAGACUGGAUGAGUGUGGGCUUGGUGAAAAGUUAAAAGUUUCACUUGCUUUUUUUCCUUUUCUUUGCACUGUGCUCUUUAGAGAAGCAGAAAGUUUAAGGGUGAGUGACUGUGACUUGGCUUCAGGAGUGGCAAAUGUUAUUUAUAAAGGCAGUUGGUCUGCAUUCUCCCUGCUGCUUUGUAGUGUUUCACUUUAGCUUGCAAAACCAAGCUGAGCUUGCUUUUAAACUAUAUACAGUUUUUAUCUGUACACCAAAUGCAUAUGAAAAUAUAACUCUUUGCCAGGCAAGCAAAUGAAGACUGGCAGCACUUAAUUCCACUUUUACUGUUCAAUUGGAUUUAUGCUAUUUAAUGUCUCUUUACGUGUUACAUCUGUGUCCUGGGAGUCAGUCUGCCAUAAGCUUCCUGCUGACAGGGAAAGGAUCCCUCCACGUAUUGUGCUACUUCUUGCACACUUGUCCCAAAGCUACAGACCCUCAGUGACAUCUUUGUGUUUUAUUCAUCAUAAGUGUUUUGGGACUUUUAUUUAAAACAGGAGGGUUUUUAUGCCGUGAUUGAAGCCAAACCCUUUCUCUGCAAAGAAAGCCCAGCUCAGCAAUGUGAGAGAUGGAGCUUUGCACAGCUUGAUUCAUCAGAUUUCUCCAGGCAGUCCUGGUCCCACAGCAGUGAGCUCGCCUGUCUAAGUGUUCACUGCCAUGGUGAAGGGCUGCAGAGAUGAGCCAUGGGAAGUAGCCUGCACCUCAGAGGCCUGCACUCCUCCAGGAUGUUAUUCCAGCCCUGAGUUUGGAGUCACUUCACCUUGCAACCCUGUUUCUGCUUAGAGUACUCAGUGCAUGUGAUUUCUUCCUUGUCCUUUUACCUGCUCUUCUAGGAGACAGGAUUAGAAGGACUGUGCACAUCCUUUAACUCAGGCUGAAGAAAGGAGAACAGAAUGUACCACAUCCCCCUUGCUGCUGACUGCACUGCUUAGGGCACUGGUAGAAAUGUUAAGCCAAAUCUGCUUUCCAACAAAACGCGUAUUGUUCUGCUACACCAAACUAGAGAACAGUUGCUGUGAAAGGAAAAAAAGAUAAAUCAUUUCUGUUUGUAGACUCCUGCCCACAUAAGCCUGAUGUGAAGAUGUAUGAAAACACUGCGCACAUUCAGCUUCCAGCAGCACCGGGGGUCACACACUGCAUCCCUACAAUGGUCUCUCUGCCUCAGCACUCAACUCCCAUCAUUAUUCUUUGUUGCAGGUCUUCACCUGUUAUUGUAGACUCACAGAAUUGUAAUGUCACUAAGAUUGGAAAAAUCCUCUAAGACCAUCUAAUCCAGCUAUCCGUCUACCAUUAAUAUUGCCCACUGAACCAUGUCCCUAAGUACCACAUCUGCACUUUUCUUGAACACCUCCAGGGACAGUGACUCCACUGUUUCCCUGGACAUCUUGUUCCAGUGCCCAACCACUUUUUUGGUGAGCUUGCUUUUGCUGAUAUUCAACCUGAACCACUCUUGGUGCAACUUGAUAGCAUUAAUCUUGCAGGGAGAGAAGUACUGCAUAUGCUUGUAUAUGUAGUAGCACACAGAGGCUGGUAUAAACUCAGAGCAACUCGUGAGCGUUCUUUUCAGCCAGGUGCAGAGCUGUCCUUUUGUUUCUAAUGCCUCUAGCACAGAGGUGAGGAAGCAGUUUGGAGCUGAAUAUGAAGGUGCAGAUAAUAUAAGUGGUAGGGUGGCCUCUUGGGGAGUGGUAAUUGAGCUGUAAAAGCCUAACAAAUCCAAGAAGCAGCCUAAGAGAAAAGCCUCUGCUCAACACUGCACACCAGGUUGUAGUUUCAAACUACAAGACAUUUCUUAAAAAAGCCAGCAGGAGGCUAACUAGUCAUUGUCAGUAGGAGUCUAAGCCCCUUAAGUCAGAGCAAAGUUAUUAAAAUGCAAUGUUUACUUGUUUAAAAAAUAAAAGAACUUCUAGGGAGAUUAAUUUUCACUUCAGUCUGGCAAUCAUUUCAUAAACAUGCCAGUGUGAUUUAAGGCAAGCUGGAUCUGUUCUUCUCUGGAUUAUGCAUCUGAUUUGUCUGCAGAUUUCCCACCCCUAACAAAUAAAAGCAGUUUUAUUGUUUUAACAAAGAGGAUUUUAACACAAAGUUUAAUCAAAAUGCCACUGGCACCCAUGCUGAACUGAGCUUUUCUGUAAUGAACAUACAUUUAUCAGGGAUAUAUAGAAAACAGCUGAGGACUCAACUCGGAAUGGUGAUUUGGAGUUUGAGUCAUCUCUGCUGUUGGUGUAUUUCAUUAAGACCACUGUGAUAAUGCACUGGUGAAACACAUGGAGCUGAAAUGAGACUUUUCAUUCCCAUAAAGAGGUUGUUCCUGUACUAAGCACAGUAAAUUCCAGAAAGUCUGGAAUUUCCUUUAUAGGAGCCCUGUGUCCUCUGCUAGACUGGCACGUACACUGAAUGCACAAGAUUUUGAGCAACAAAUGCUUCUUCAAGAGCUGUUUGAGUAUUUGUAAAGAUUUCUCAUUCUGCUAAUUGCAUCACCCUUAUUGUAGGAGGUAUGGGGUAUUUUCCAUCUUGUGGAAUACUGUGCACUAUCUCUGAGGUUAUGAAUAGAUCUAAAUUUCACUGUAGUGAAUCCUCAAGGUUUGCAGUAUCUGAAGCAUUAUAUUGUCUGCAAGGAUCAUAUCAUGGGGACAUGGUUUAGUGGGCAUGGCUGGUCUAGAUGAUCUUUGAGGUCUUCCACUUUGAUGAUGUUAUGAUUCUAUUUGUAUGCUGUAGAAACAGCGAAGGAUCUGCCCCUUUCUUUGGGAGAUACAAGGAGAAAGCUGGAGAAAGCAACCCAUUCCAAUUGCAGAUUGCCUCUUAACAGAGUCCUUAGAUGUCAGGGUGUGUCAUACCUUGUGAAAAGUACUAUUAGGUGUUUUAAGUGCCUCUUUCUGGCAAAAGUUUGGCUGUCCUACAGCCCCAAAUCAGCAGCUUCUUCCUAAUGAUCUGCACUGUUACACCAGGAGAGGGGGAUCUGUGAGUAGUUCCUGAAGCUGUCAGCUGAGGAACAAACCUAGGCGGGCAGGGGAGGAUGAUGAAUUCCAGCACGUGAACAGCUUGAAAUAUUUAGAACCUGGAAGCAAAGGGGAAAGUGGGAGACAUUCUCCCUGGCUUUUCAGUUUCAGAAAUUAAAAGCAAGCCCUAUUGCCUGGAUGUGGAUGCUAAUUCUCCAUGGGGUUUGAGAAAUGAUGUAUGCAGAGACAGCCUUUCAGUGUACAACUCAGAGCUAAAGCACAGAAGAAAACUAGUAUAUUUUAGUAAAACGCCUUGAAAAUAAGUAAUUUACUUGAAAUAAAUUUCACCAUUGAUUCCCUCUAGUUAACUUGCAUCAAAAAACAUCGACUUCUCUUUUGCAGCUUUGGGGUUUGGAAUGGCUUUACUUCUUUUUCACCAGAAUCGUGGAGUAUAUAUAUAGUUCUCCAUGCUAGCUGUAAGUAGCUUUGACAGUUCAAUAAAUACAUUCUGUGUUCUUUACAGCUGACCCUAGGUAAGGACAGCCUUGAGGAUGUGAAGCAGUGUUGCAUAAAUGUGUAGAGUACAUAGCAACACUGAGAAGAGAGAUGCUGCUGCGUUGCUUUGGUGCACUAGACAUACAUUAAAAUUCUGUCAUUGCAAGGUCGCAUUGCUCAUCUCAUACUCUACAACUUUGGAUAAGAAUGGAAGGUGGGGGAGGAAGAGCAAAAACUUCCACCUUGUGCUAUAGCUGAGAACUUGUCAGCAGCAUUUCUUUCUAUUUCAAAAGAGCAUGCUAUUUCUUUUUUAGGGAUAAUGGAUUCUUGGUGCUGAGUAGUGGUGUUUGCAUGUUAGUGGUAACAUGUUACUUCUGAACUGAAUAAAUAGCACCUCUGGGUCUUUUCUUCUCCCUUAAAUUAUCAAAGAGAAAUACCAAAUACCAGACAGCACACAGAGUGGACUGUGCUCUAAGCUGCUCCCAAUGCAGCCUUGUUAGCAGUGCUGCACAGAAACUCUGCAAGCUGGUGGGAAGAAGCAAGGUUUAGGCAAAGAGGAAAGAACUCUUGAAGUGGAAGCACAACAGUAAUAUAUCAUUUGAAACCAGAAGCAGGCAUGUCACAGCACUGGCUGUCACAUGUGAAUGGUGCUGAGUCAGAAGCCUACCCUACCAGUAUACGUGACAUCAAGGAAUGUUGAGAGCUCUCAAAUUGAGUUUACAAUGUGAGAUGAAAGGAAGUUAGGUGAGCCACCUGUUCGGUUUCCAGCUUGGGGCUUGGAUCUGCCCUGUCUGAGAGCUUCUUGUAUAGAUGAUGAGCUGGUCUGACUCCCAAGUGUGGACUCAGUUGUGUAGCUAACUGAGGGUAUGUACAUCCCCUUUGUAUUUCUAUGGCUUUGCAAAAGCAAGUUGCUCAGUGACUGGGAGCAGAGUAUCUUACUGUAGGGUUAGUUGCUCGAAAUCCUGUUCUUUCCAGUUAAGCACAAUGGCCUGACCAGAUGAAGAUGAUGACUGCCAGUUUCCAUUGGUAAAUGAAUAUGGCCUGCCCAUAUUCACACUCAUGUUCAUGGGAAAAAAAGGGAAAAUCUGCAGAGAAUAUCUAAGUUCUUUCUUGUUCCUUUUUUGUGCUGAUGGAAGAGAAGUGCUUAAAUUGGGAAGAUUCAUCCAUGGUAUUCUUUCUGAUUCCUUAAAUGCUUGUAACUAUUCAAACUGUGCUUUUUUGAGAGAAACUUAAUGGACAUAAUGUCCUCAAGUGGAGUUAAACAACAUGGCUGAGAUGCAGUGUGGCAAACUGCCUCCUAUUGACUGAAAUAUCAUUGUCUGUUGGAGCAGAAGGCAUCGGUGCUUUCAUUAGUCUCAGUGUAUUCCAUGGAAACCUAGUGGGAGCAUUCAGCUACCCCACUUCCUUCCUGUAUACCUCCAGUCUUCAUCUGGGUUUGGUGCUCUGACCUUUAGAUUACUGGAAGCCACCUUGUCCAUAUGUCACCGAAUCACAGAGUGACUUGGGUUGGAAGGGGCAUUUAAAGAUCGUCUAGUUUCCUUUUCUAUUGUCACUUCCCUCCCUAAACAUCUUAAUUGUGUCAGGAAACCCCCUCUGCUUCCCUUCACUCAGGAAAACGAUACAGUGGGAAAUGCAGAGUUUAUUUUACUCAUAGCCAUAUUCAUAGCUAUAGCCACAGCCUAGUCUCUAGCCUUUAUAAUGCUCCUAAUGUAUGUGAUCUAGUGAGAGUCAUCUAGUCACCUUAAAUAGCAUUAGUUGAAUGGAUGCAGGAUUCUAGCCCUGAAAAUGCUUUUUUAGAAUGGGAGGAGAGGCCAUGCCACAGUGAUGGGUAAAUGGGAAAAACGCACAAAUAGCCAAGAUUAUAUCAUCUUCUGGAUAAGAAACGGGAACCCAUUUUGUGAAAUUCAGACUGUGGCCAUCAGUGAAAUUAAGUCAUGUUUCUGCUUUCACACGUAGGCACUGCAAGACAAAGGUCAGUGAUGGAAAGAACUUGCUUCUUUCAAUUACAUUCUCUAUUUCCAUACAACUCCUAGCUUAUCAGUGGCACAUAAAUUCCUCCUUUCACUGAUUAAAUAUUUCCUCACCUGAUUUCUUUGCUUCUGGGAGUUUGAGAGCUCACUGUUCAUAAAGGAAAAGAAGGAUUAUGCUAUUAAGCAGACAGCUCCCAACACAUAUGUUCUGCUCUGCAUCUUUGAGGAGGCACUGAUGCUUCUACAACUGCAGAAGGGCAGUUUUAUUGAGAUUCAGAGGCAGCCAAGUGCCUCUUCCAGGAUUUUGAUGUUGAUGAAGCUCUGGGUUAAUUAAUUAGCUUUUUUUUCUGAAUCAAGAAGCUUUAGCCCAUCUGUGCCAGGCUGUGAAACCCUUAAUGCUACCUAGCUUUUCUUUCCCUGUGUUCCUUUCAGUCAUUUGCAAGAGCAAAUUUGAUGAAGCACAUCUGAGUAAGGAAAGGUUUCCUGGUCCCCUGAGAAUUUAGGGGAAAAGUCCUAACUGUGACAUUUCCCUCAAACUGAGAACCAAAGAGAUAGAUAGUUUGGGCCAGCUAUAUUUAUUUCAUAAUGUGCAAAUGGUUUUGUGCGUGGUUGUUUUUUGUGUUUUUUUUUUCUGGUUCUAUUUUUAUAUUGUUUAAA
Molecule: non-coding RNA, 9271 nt
Organism: Meleagris gallopavo (turkey)
Lineage: Eukaryota; Metazoa; Chordata; Aves; Galliformes; Phasianidae
Source: RefSeq, a predicted model, not a curated record